Solanum tuberosum (potato) is the source of this 107-nucleotide non-coding RNA. The record is from Rfam. Lineage: Eukaryota; Viridiplantae; Streptophyta; Magnoliopsida; Solanales; Solanaceae.
AUUUCAUGAGUUGGGCAUUGUAUCAACAAUGCUUUAAACCUCAGCCAUGACUCAUGAAAAAGCUCACCUUCCAUCUGUUUGAAGGUCAAGAUGCUAUCCCUGAAUCU